RNAcentral lists this ribosomal RNA (433 nucleotides) under uncultured bacterium. RNAcentral's name for it is "bacterial SSU rRNA". It matches the Rfam family "Bacterial small subunit ribosomal RNA", at positions 29 to 506 of the family's 1533-position model. The record is from RNAcentral.
ACGAACGCUGGCGGCAGGCCUAAAACAUGCAAGUCGAACGAUUGCAGCAAUGCAGUAGUGGCGCACGGGUGAGUAACAUGUGGGAAUAUGCCUUUUGGUACGGAACAACUUUUGGAAACGAAAGCUAAUACCGUAUGGUCCCUUCGGGGUAAAGAUUUAUCGCCAAAAGAGUAGCCCGCACUGGAUUAGCUAGUUGGUAAGGUAAUGGCUUACCAAGGCGACGAUCCAUAGCUGGUCUGAGAGGACGAUCAGCCACACUGGGACUGAGACACGGCCCAGACUCCUACGGGAGGCAGCAGUUAGGAAUAUUGGACAAUGGGCGCAAGCCUGAUCCAGCCAUGCCGCGUGUGUGAUGAAGGCCUUCGGGUUGUAAAGCACUUUAGUCCACGAAUAUAAUGACUGUAGUGGAAGAAUAAGCCCCGGCUAACUUCGU